GAUGAACGCUGGCGGCGUGCCUAAUACAUGCAAGUCGAGCGAACGGACGAGACGCUUGCUUCUCUGAUGUUAGCGGCGGACGGGAGAGUAACACGAGUAUAACCCACCUAUAAGACUGGGAUAACUACGGGAAACCGUAGCUAAUACCGGAUAAUAUUUUGAACCGCAUGGUUCAAAAGUGAAAGACGGCCUUGCUGUCACUUAUAGAUGGAUCCGCGCUGCAUUAGCUAGUUGGUAAGUAAACGGCAUACGAAGGCGGCGAGGCAUAGCCGACCUGAGAGGGUGGUCGGCCGCACGGGAAGUGGGACGCGGUCCAUACUCCUACGGGAGGCAGCAGAAGGGAAUCGUCCGCAAUGGGCGGAAACCUGACGGAGCAACGCCACGUGAGUGAUGACGGUCUUCGGAUCGUGAUACUCUGUUAUUAGGGAAAAACAUCUGUGUAAGGAGCUGUGCCCAUCUUGACGGUAAUUAGUCAGAAAGCCCCGGCUAACUACGUG
Molecule: ribosomal RNA, 497 nt
Filed under: uncultured bacterium
Lineage: Bacteria
Description: partial 16S ribosomal RNA
Rfam family: Bacterial small subunit ribosomal RNA
Source: RNAcentral